GAUGAACGCUGGCGGCGUGCCUAAUACAUGCAAGUCGAGCGAACAGACGAGGAGCUUACUCCUCUGACGUUAGCGGCGGACGGGUGAGUAACACGUGGAUAACCUACCUAUAAGACUGGGAUAACUUCGGGAAACCGGAGCUAAUACCGGAUAACAUGUUGAACCGCAUGGUUCAACAGUGAAAGACGGUCUUGCUGUCACUUAUAGAUGGAUCCGCGUCGCAUUAGCUAGUUGGUAAGGUAACGGCUUACCAAGGCAACGAUGCGUAGCCGACCUGAGAGGGUGAUCGGCCACACUGGAACUGAGACACGGUCCAGACUCCUACGGGAGGCAGCAGUAGGGAAUCUUCCGCAAUGGGCGAAAGCCUGACGGAGCAACGCCGCGUGAGUGAAGAAGGUCUUCGGAUCGUAAAACUCUGUUAUUAGGGAAGAACAAAUGUGUAAGUAACGAUGCACGUCUUGACGGUACCUAAUCAGAAAGCCACGGCUAACUACGU
RNAcentral lists this ribosomal RNA (496 nucleotides) under uncultured bacterium. RNAcentral's name for it is "partial 16S ribosomal RNA". It matches the Rfam family "Bacterial small subunit ribosomal RNA", at positions 28 to 506 of the family's 1533-position model. The record is from RNAcentral.